RNAcentral lists this ribosomal RNA (887 nucleotides) under Metabacillus indicus. RNAcentral describes it as "bacterial SSU rRNA". It matches the Rfam family "Bacterial small subunit ribosomal RNA", at positions 56 to 939 of the family's 1533-position model. Lineage: Bacteria; Bacillati; Bacillota; Bacilli; Caryophanales; Bacillaceae. The record is from RNAcentral.
UGCAGUCGAGCGGACCUCUUCGGAGGUCAGCGGCGGACGGGUGAGUAACACGUGGGCAACCUGCCUGUAAGACUGGGAUAACUCCGGGAAACCGGAGCUAAUACCGGAUACUAUGUCAAACCGCAUGGUUUGACAUUCAAAGACGGUUUCGGCUGUCACUUACAGAUGGGCCCGCGGCGCAUUAGCUAGUUGGUGAGGUAACGGCUCACCAAGGCGACGAUGCGUAGCCGACCUGAGAGGGUGAUCGGCCACACUGGGACUGAGACACGGCCCAGACUCCUACGGGAGGCAGCAGUAGGGAAUCUUCCGCAAUGGACGAAAGUCUGACGGAGCAACGCCGCGUGAGUGAUGAAGGUUUUCGGAUCGUAAAACUCUGUUGUCAGGGAAGAACAAGUGCCGGAGUAACUGCCGGCGCCUUGACGGUACCUGACCAGAAAGCCACGGCUAACUACGUGCCAGCAGCCGCGGUAAUACGUAGGUGGCAAGCGUUGUCCGGAAUUAUUGGGCGUAAAGCGCGCGCAGGCGGUUUCUUAAGUCUGAUGUGAAAGCCCCCGGCUCAACCGGGGAGGGUCAUUGGAAACUGGGAAACUUGAGUGCAGAAGAGGAGAGUGGAAUUCCACGUGUAGCGGUGAAAUGCGUAGAGAUGUGGAGGAACACCAGUGGCGAAGGCGACUCUCUGGUCUGUAACUGACGCUGAGGCGCGAAAGCGUGGGGAGCGAACAGGAUUAGAUACCCUGGUAGUCCACGCCGUAACGAUGAGUGCUAAGUGUUAGAGGGUUUCCGCCCUUUAGUGCUGCAGCUAACGCAUUAAGCACUCCGCCUGGGGAGUACGGUCGCAAGACUGAAACUCAAAGGAAUUGACGGGGGCCCGCACAAGCGGUGGAGCA